This 911-nucleotide ribosomal RNA is filed under the name uncultured bacterium. RNAcentral describes it as "bacterial SSU rRNA". It matches the Rfam family "Bacterial small subunit ribosomal RNA", at positions 99 to 997 of the family's 1533-position model. The record is from RNAcentral.
CGAACGGGUGAGUAACGCGUGGGUAACCUGCCUUAUAGCGGGGGAUAACUAUUGGAAACGAUAGCUAAUACCGCAUAACAAUAGAGAUUGCAUAAUCUUUAUUUGAAAGUGCCAACUGGUACACUAUGAGAUGGACCCGCGUUGUAUUAGCUAGUUGGUAGUGUAAUGGACUACCAAGGCGAUGAUACAUAGCCGACCUGAGAGGGUGAUCGGCCACAUUGGGACUGAGACACGGCCCAAACUCCUACGGGAGGCAGCAGUAGGGAAUCUUCGGCAAUGGACGAAAGUCUGACCGAGCAACGCCGCGUGAGUGAAGAAGGUUUUCGGAUCGUAAAACUCUGUUGUUAGAGAAGAAUGUUGAUUAGAGUGGAAAAUUAAUCAAGUGACGGUAUCUAACCAGAAAGGGACGGCUAACUACGUGCCAGCAGCCGCGGUAAUACGUAGGUCCCGAGCGUUGUCCGGAUUUAUUGGGCGUAAAGCGAGCGCAGGUGGUUUAAUAAGUCUGAUGUAAAAGGCAGUGGCUCAACCAUUGUGUGCAUUGGAAACUGUUAGACUUGAGUGCAGUAGAGGAGAGUGGAAUUCCAUGUGUAGCGGUGAAAUGCGUAGAUAUAUGGAGGAACACCGAUGGCGAAAGCGGCUCUCUGGACUGUCACUGACACUGAGGCUCGAGAGCGUGGGUAGCAAACAGGAUUAGAUACCCUGGUAGUCCACGCCGUAAACGAUGAGUGCUAGUUGUUUGGGGCUAUCCAGCCCUAAGUGACGCAGCAAACGCAUUAAGCACUCCGCCUGGGGAGUACGACCGCAAGGUUGAAACUCAAAGGAAUUGACGGGGGCCCGCACAAGCGGUGGAGCAUGUGGUUUAAUUCGAAGCAGCGCGAAGAACCUUACCAGGUCUUGACAUGCUCGUGCUA